UGCUUUCAGCUUGCAGCUUUGCCACCGAGGAGGGAGGAUGAAGCGGUGAGGUUCUUGCAGGGAACGCUGAUGUCUGCAAAGCUUGCAGCGAUGUUGAGCACAGGAUGCCAAGAAUAGGCAGCUGUGAAAAGGUCAUUAAUGAAUCUCAGCAGAAACAUGCUGCCAUAUUCUCUUCUUUUUGCAGUGAAUUAGGUCCAGCAUACUGACACCGUGUUUCUUCUUAAUGAGUGCUUUAUUUGAAGCUGCACUUGGGAGUAGAAAGGAAGUUGGAAGAAAUACCAAUCUCUCAGCUGCUUACAUUGGAAGAGGCUCAACAGCCAUGAAUUUAGGGGCUUAUGCUUCCAGUCCUCCAGAUAUUUAUCUGUUUCUUGUCCAGAAGAUUGAGGAGAAAAAGAAUACCUUAAAGAUCUUGCAUCAGGGAACCCAGGGGUUUGGUUGCUGCAUGUCUGCACUGAUGGAACACAUCCUCUUGAGGAGCUCCACUGGCAUUACCUGUAAGUGCUACAAAGCUGUAAACUUCAGGAUGGACUUGAUUUUCUCAAGUUGAAUGGGAGAUCUUUGUUUUAUUGUCGGAAAAAAGCAGAUAAACAAUGUCCAAUUCUGGCAAAGCAUCAACAGAGGGCUCUGCAGCUUGACUAGACAUCACGUGUGCAACACAGCUUCCGUGCCCUAACUGAGAACCCAUGCUCCUGCAGGGAGAUGGGUGCUGGCUUUUUAAGUUGAGCUAGAAAUACUGGAAAGAUAUUGUUCCUUUCUGAACAAAAGGGAAAAAAAGGGCUGUGUGAUGUCCCUCUCUCAGGUUCCUCCUGCCCGAUGGGGACAGUGAUGGUGUGAGCACUGCAGGAAGUGGAGCGGGGCAGCAGCUGUGUGUGCUUCUUUACAAAGAAAUGCUAAAAUAGAAAAUCA
Molecule: long non-coding RNA, 906 nt
Filed under: Coturnix japonica (Japanese quail)
Lineage: Eukaryota; Metazoa; Chordata; Aves; Galliformes; Phasianidae
Description: lncRNA (ENSCJPG00005020787.1)
Source: RNAcentral